AUCGAGUGUUUCACUGGCUCACCCCGAA
RNAcentral lists this small RNA (28 nucleotides) under Bombyx mori (domestic silkworm). Its description in RNAcentral is "ovarian small RNA-12486". The record is from RNAcentral. Lineage: Eukaryota; Metazoa; Arthropoda; Insecta; Lepidoptera; Bombycidae.